CUACGGGAGGCAGCAGUGGGGAAUAUUGGACAAUGGGGGCAACCCUGAUCCAGCCAUGCCGCGUGAGUGAAGAAGGCCUUCGGGUUGUAAAGCUCUUUCAGAUGCGAAGAUGAUGACGGUAACAUCAGAAGAAGCCCCGGCUAAUUUCGUGCCAGCAGCCGCGGUAAUACGAAAGGGGCUAGCGUUGUUCGGAUUUACUGGGCGUAAAGGGCACGCAGGCGGUCUUGCCAGUCAGGGGUGAAAGCCCGGGGCUCAACCUCGGAACUGCCUCUGAUACUGUAAGACUUGAGACUAGGAGAGGGUGGUGGAAUUCCCAGUGUAGAGGUGAAAUUCGUAGAUAUUGGGAGGAACACCAGAGGCGAAGGCGGCCACCUGGACUAGAUCUGACGCUCAGGUGCGAAAGCGUGGGGAGCAAACAGGAUUAGAUACCCUGGUAGUCCACGCCGUAAACGAUGAGUGCUAGUUGUCGGGACUUCGGUUUCGGUGACGCAGCUAACGCAUUAAGCACUCCGCCUGGGGAGU
This 522-nucleotide ribosomal RNA is filed under the name uncultured Rhodospirillaceae bacterium. RNAcentral's name for it is "bacterial SSU rRNA". It matches the Rfam family "Bacterial small subunit ribosomal RNA", at positions 339 to 881 of the family's 1533-position model. The record is from RNAcentral. Lineage: Bacteria; Pseudomonadati; Pseudomonadota; Alphaproteobacteria; Rhodospirillales; Rhodospirillaceae.